CCUACGGGAGGCAGCAGUAGGGAAUCUUCCGCAAUGGACGAAAGUCUGACGGAGCAACGCCGCGUGAGCGAUGAAGGUCUUCGGAUCGUAAAGCUCUGUUGUUAGGGAAGAACAAGUACCGGAGUAACUGUCGGUACCUUGACGGUACCUAACCAGAAAGCCACGGCUAACUACGUGCCAGCAGCCGCGGUAAU
Molecule: ribosomal RNA, 194 nt
Filed under: uncultured Bacillus sp.
Lineage: Bacteria; Bacillati; Bacillota; Bacilli; Caryophanales; Bacillaceae
Description: partial 16S ribosomal RNA
Rfam family: Bacterial small subunit ribosomal RNA
Source: RNAcentral